Molecule: long non-coding RNA, 366 nt
Organism: Octopus sinensis (East Asian common octopus)
Lineage: Eukaryota; Metazoa; Mollusca; Cephalopoda; Octopoda; Octopodidae
Exons: 3
Source: RefSeq, a predicted model, not a curated record
AUCAUGUAUGUAACAGCAUUAACUCCAUUUGUCCUGCUCUUUAUUCUCCUCGGCCGCAGCGUCUCUCUGAGUGGUUCGAUUGAAGGAAUAAAAUAUUUUUUAAAACCUGAUAUUGGUAAACUGGCUUCUAUUGAGAUAUGGUCAGACGCUGGAACUCAAAUUUUCUUUUCUUAUACCUUAGCUUGUGGUGCCCUGACUGCACUGGGGUCUCACAACAAACCAAACCACAAUACCUAUCGAGAUGUAUAUGGCUAUUCUUGCAUGAAUUCGUUCUGCAGUAUUAUAUCUGGAUUUGUUAUAUUUCCUGUACUUGGGUUCAUGGCAAAGCGUCAACACGUCCCAAUUGAUGCUGUUGCCGACUCUGGU